GGUGGCUCAGUGGUAAAGUGCUUGCCUUGAAUGCAUGAGGCCCUGGGUUCAAUUCCUCAGCACCA
Molecule: transfer RNA, 65 nt
Filed under: Dipodomys ordii (Ord's kangaroo rat)
Lineage: Eukaryota; Metazoa; Chordata; Mammalia; Rodentia; Heteromyidae
Rfam family: tRNA
About the family: Transfer RNA (tRNA) molecules are approximately 80 nucleotides in length. Their secondary structure includes four short double-helical elements and three loops (D, anti-codon, and T loops).
Source: Rfam by way of RNAcentral